UACGGAGGAUGCGAGCGUUAUCCGGAUUUAUUGGGUUUAAAGGGAGCGUAGGCGGGCAGGUAAGUCCGUGGUGAAAUCUCUGAGCUUAACUCAGAAACUGCCAUGGAUACUAUUUGUCUUGAAUAUUGUGGAGGUAAGCGGAAUAUGUCAUGUAGCGGUGAAAUGCUUAGAUAUGACAUAGAACACCAAUUGCGAAGGCAGCUUACUACACAGUUAUUGACGCUGAGGCACGAAAGCGUGGGGAUCAAACAGG
RNAcentral lists this ribosomal RNA (253 nucleotides) under uncultured bacterium. Its description in RNAcentral is "partial 16S ribosomal RNA". It matches the Rfam family "Bacterial small subunit ribosomal RNA", at positions 524 to 776 of the family's 1533-position model. The record is from RNAcentral.